CCUACGGGAGGCAGCAGUGAGGAAUAUUGGUCAAUGGUCGGGAGACUGAACCAGCCAAGCCGCGUGAGGGAGGAAGGUACAGAGUAUCGUAAACCUCUUUUGUCAGGGAACAAAGACUGGGACGCGUCCCCGGAUGAGUGUACCUGAAGAAAAAGCAUCGGCUAACUCCGUGCCAGCAGCCGCGGUAAGACGGAGGAUGCGAGCUUUAUCCGGAUUUAUUGGGUUAAAGGGGUGCGCAGGCGGUCUGUUAAGUCAGCGGACAAAGCCCGGGGCUCAACCCCGGCCCGCCGUUGAAACUGGCAGUCUCGAGUUGGAGAGAAGUAUGCGGAAUGCGCGGUGUAGCGGUGAAAUGCAUAGAUAUCGCGCAGAACUCCGAUUGCGAAGGCAGCAUGCCGGCUCCACACUGACGCUGAGGCACGAAAGCGUGGGUAUCGAACAGGAUUAGAUACCCCAGUAGUC
RNAcentral lists this ribosomal RNA (459 nucleotides) under uncultured bacterium. RNAcentral's name for it is "partial 16S ribosomal RNA". It matches the Rfam family "Bacterial small subunit ribosomal RNA", at positions 338 to 795 of the family's 1533-position model. The record is from RNAcentral.